Molecule: long non-coding RNA, 240 nt
Filed under: Theobroma cacao (cacao)
Lineage: Eukaryota; Viridiplantae; Streptophyta; Magnoliopsida; Malvales; Malvaceae
Description: long non-coding RNA (TCAC_LNC005700)
Source: RNAcentral
UUUGAGUUCAAGAUUUUCAUACAAAAGAUUAUUCAUAAACAAAAGGUAAAAAAAAGUGAAUCAUUCAAUUAAGAAAUACAGGGACCACUUUCUGAGGGGAUGAGAGCCCUCCUUUGUAUGAAGGGAAACAAUCAAUCAAACCAAACUAGAAUAUCCAGGUGGAGAGGAAGCCUGUUUUGGGGCUUGCAUCCUUUCAUGUAAUUGCUCUCAUUGGACCAUCUGGAAGACUGGGAUUAUUGC